Molecule: ribosomal RNA, 435 nt
Filed under: uncultured bacterium
Lineage: Bacteria
Description: bacterial SSU rRNA
Rfam family: Bacterial small subunit ribosomal RNA
Source: RNAcentral
GAUGAACGCUGGCGGCGUGCUUAACACAUGCAAGUCGAGCGAAGCAGUUAAGUUGAUUUCUUCGGAUUGAUUCUUAACUGACUGAGCGGCGGACGGGUGAGUAACGCGUGGGUGACCUGCCCCAUACCGGGGGAUAACAGCUGGAAACGGCUGCUAAUACCGCAUAAGCGCACAGAGCUGCAUGGCUCGGUGUGAAAAACUCCGGUGGUAUGGGAUGGGCCCGCGUCUGAUUAGGCAGUUGGCGGGGUAACGGCCCACCAAACCGACGAUCAGUAGCCGGCCUGAGAGGGCGACCGGCCACAUUGGGACUGAGACACGGCCCAAACUCCUACGGGAGGCAGCAGUGGGGAAUAUUGCACAAUGGGGGAAACCCUGAUGCAGCGACGCCGCGUGAGCGAAGAAGUAUUUCGGUAUGUAAAGCUCUAUCAGCAGGGA